UCUCUGUGUGAUGAUGAAAACAGAUCACGAGUCUCAUGUAAUCCAUUCUACUAAACCAUGUUGACAAUCGAGGCAUUUGUCUGAGAGAG
This 89-nucleotide small nucleolar RNA is filed under the name Hordeum vulgare. RNAcentral's name for it is "Plant small nucleolar RNA SNOR75". It matches the Rfam family "Plant small nucleolar RNA SNOR75". Rfam says of the family: U15 is a member of the C/D class of snoRNA which contain the C (UGAUGA) and D (CUGA) box motifs. The record is from RNAcentral. Lineage: Eukaryota; Viridiplantae; Streptophyta; Magnoliopsida; Poales; Poaceae. RNAcentral also lists the same sequence under 1 other name.